RNAcentral lists this non-coding RNA (30 nucleotides) under Mus musculus (house mouse). The record is from RNAcentral. Lineage: Eukaryota; Metazoa; Chordata; Mammalia; Rodentia; Muridae.
UGAGGUGAUAUGAGAAUCUGCCUUUUGCAG